This is a long non-coding RNA of Gadus macrocephalus (Pacific cod), 1047 nucleotides long. RefSeq lists it as uncharacterized. Lineage: Eukaryota; Metazoa; Chordata; Actinopteri; Gadiformes; Gadidae. The transcript is spliced from 3 exons. The record is from RefSeq and is a predicted model, not a curated record.
AGUCUACAGACACCGUCACAGACUACAGACACAGACUACAACACAGACUACAGUCUACAGACACAGACUACAGACACAGACUACAACUACAGACACAGACUACAGUCUACAGACACAGACUACAGUCUACAGACACAGACACGCACAUUUACAGAUUCCCCAGAAGCAUCCGGUAACCCUGACCUGUUGGACCGGGUCGAGUGCGUCUUUAGAUUUCCAUCGUGGUGCCGACAGCCGGCAGCAGAGAGUCCUUCUCUGUCCUUGCCAGCUUCUCAAUUCCUAAGACUCAGGACUCCUUCCUCCUGCAGAGAUAAAGACUUUACAGUGUUGAUGGUUCUCUGGUCCAGCCGUCGAUUGAGUCUCUGUUGACUGGUGACGACCAAACCGAGUUCUACAGCUGAAACCACAACAUCUGCUCCUGGUCGUGACUUUGAUCUGAGGUCCUACAAAUGAAGUGGCCUUGUGUUAAUUCCAGUCAAGAUGGUGUUUUUUGCGCUGUUGUUUAGGACUGAAUAGGAACAUUCAUCUGGAUCAUUUCACUUUAUUUGAGCAACAUAUCUUUCCCAUAUGUAGUUAUGUCCCGGUGCGAUGCCUCCAGCCUGGUGUUAGAAUGCGGAGAGGUGAACCCAGAGCAGGGACAACUGUCCACUGGUCAGAUCUCAUCUCCUCUUCAGCAUUUCUUCUGGUACUUUUAGAUUUUCCAAAGCAGCGUACGGUGGUAAAACGAUGAACACGAACAUAAAGAUCCAUAAAGGUAUGAUUGAGGUGGUUGUGCCGUGUGCCUUCGUGUGAACCUGUUCCCUAUCGGUGUCUUAUUGAGACUCAUGAACUCUGUUACGAUACUCAGUGUUGGCUCAGCACUUAAUUCCUGUGUCAUACCCAAAGUUUGUGUUAUUGUAUUAUUGACCGUAGCCAAAGUCCAUCCUCAAAGCCUGAAAUGAUUUCUGUUCCGUCUCUUUUCAUGGUACCCGUAGUGUUAUUUCUCGUUGGAAAUCAACUUUCCGUUGAGAGGGAUUUCAUAUUAAAAAUGAGGAAACGUAAGUCUUA